This is a long non-coding RNA of Musa acuminata AAA Group (dessert banana), 447 nucleotides long. RefSeq lists it as uncharacterized. The transcript is spliced from 3 exons. Lineage: Eukaryota; Viridiplantae; Streptophyta; Magnoliopsida; Zingiberales; Musaceae. The record is from RefSeq and is a predicted model, not a curated record.
CGAACGAAUCUCGAAUGAGGACGCGAGGGAAGAGCGGUAACCGAAGAGGCGGAUGGGGAGAAGCCAUGGCCGUGAUGCGAGCGAUCUCCAUGGCGGCAGUAGCGGCACCAACGAUGAUGCUACCGCCAGCAAACUGUCACUUAGUCAGAAGGCAGCUAUGACAAAUCAUUACGAUCAACCAGAGAACAGAGUUGAACGUGAGGCUUUUAUUUCCAAAGAUCCAUCCCGAUGAUGCUCGUGGACAGCAAAUAAUAAAAAAAAAUCUCGAGGUAGAACAUCUUUUCUUUCUAAUUUUCUGAUUUUUAACUUUGUUGUGUGUUGCUUAUCUUAUGUGAAAAUUGCAUGUUUUGGUCACAGUUUAGUUAUUCAUUGGAGUUUCAGACUGUAGUUUGCAUAGUUCUAUCUGCAUAUACCUCCUACUGCAAUAUAUCCCAUUAAGGUGGUGUU